This is a long non-coding RNA of Erinaceus europaeus (western European hedgehog), 730 nucleotides long. RefSeq lists it as uncharacterized. The record is from RefSeq and is a predicted model, not a curated record. The transcript is spliced from 2 exons. NCBI's taxonomy places the organism in Eukaryota, Metazoa, Chordata, Mammalia, Eulipotyphla, Erinaceidae.
AGCGGCUGUUCGGGUGUCUGUUCCUUGCACCUCAGGACUUGCGCACACUGGCGUGGGGGGGGCCCCGGGGGUGACGUGACGGGCGCCUGCUUGAGUUCAGGCUAGAAAAGCAUAGCGGUAGGAGAGAAAAGCAGCCACCAAGUUACAGAUGCUAUCAUGAUCCCAUCCUCAAUUCCCUGGACAGAUGACCUCACCAAUGUGUAUCGGAACCUCAUCUCUCCAGAGCCUACCCUACUAGAGAUAGAAACAGGCUAAGGGUAUGGAUGACCCACCAACGUCCAUUUCCAGUGGGAAAGUAAUUACAGAAGCCAGACCUUCCACCUUCUGCACCCCACAAAGGAUUUUGAUCCAUAUUCCCAGAGGAGGAGAAAUGUUAGGGGAAGAUGACCAGAGGACUCUGAACUCCAAUUCUAUCAGGACCAGGAGGGAGAAGAGGAAAAAUGGAAGGACACUCAGAAGAAGUAAUAGGUUUAGGUGUGACUUAGGAAAGAAGAGAAGGCAGGACCAUAAAAAUAAAAAAAUGAGUAAGCAUAAAUAUAAGCAGGUAGUUACAGCAAUAAUAGCCAACCCACACCUGUGACCUUGGGAGAGUCACUGCAAUUUCCAAUGGAGGGAAAUGAGGACACAGAACUCUGGUGGUGGGAAAGGUGUGGAAUUAUACCCUUGUUAUCUUAUAAUUUUGUAAGUCAAUAUUGAAUCACUAAUUAAAACAGAAAGGGAGGGAGUAAUA